RNAcentral lists this transfer RNA (76 nucleotides) under Camelus bactrianus (Bactrian camel). It matches the Rfam family "tRNA". Rfam says of the family: Transfer RNA (tRNA) molecules are approximately 80 nucleotides in length. Their secondary structure includes four short double-helical elements and three loops (D, anti-codon, and T loops). Lineage: Eukaryota; Metazoa; Chordata; Mammalia; Artiodactyla; Camelidae. The record is from Rfam by way of RNAcentral. RNAcentral also lists the same sequence under 1 other name.
GUGUGUGUAGCUCAGUGGUAGAGUGAGUGUAUGCUUGGUGCGCACAAGGUCCUGGGUUCAAUCCCCAGUUCCUCCA